ACCUGAAACCGUGUGCCUACAAUCAGUCAGAGGGCUAUGCAGUUCUUCGGAGAUGAAUGCCUGAUGGCGUGCCUAUAGAAGAAUGAUCCGACGAGUUACUGUAUGUAGCGAGGUUAAGCCGGGAAUGGCGGAGCCGAAGCGAAAGCGAGUCUGAAUAGGGCGAUAGUUGCAUAUAGUAGACCCGAAACCAGGUGAGCUACCCUUGGCCAGGAUGAAGCUUUGGUAACACAAAGUGGAGGUCCGAAUGCCUCAACGUUGAAAAGUUGAGUAAUGAGCUGUGGGUAGGGGUGAAAAGCCAAUCGAACCUGGAGAUAGCUGGUUCUCCCCGAAAUAGUUUUAGGACUAGCCUCGGAAAAGAAUCUGAUGGGGGUAAAGCACUGGAUGGGCUAGGGGGCACACCAGCUUACCAACCCCAACCAAACUCUGAAUACCAUCAGAUGUUCUCCGGGAGUCAGGCACAGUGAGAUAAGUUUCUGUGUCGCGAGGGAAACAGCCCAGACCGUCGGUUAAGGUCCCAAAGUAUAUGCUGAGUGGGAAAGGAUGUGGAGGUCCUCAGACAGCCAGGAGGUUGGCUUAGAAGCAGCCAUUCCUUUAAAGAGUGCGUAAUAGCUCACUGGUCGAGGGCUUCUGCGCCGAAAAUGUAACGGGGCUAAGCAUAUCACCGAAGCCACGGGUCUAGUAGUAUUUCGAUACUAUUGGGCGGUAGGGGAGCGUUCUGCCGUAGGAAGAAGGCAUACCGCGAGGAGUGCUGGACGAAGCAGAAGUGAGAAUGUCGGAACGAGUAGCGAUAAGACGGGUGAGAAACCCGUUCGCCGUAAACCUAAGGUUUCCUGGGGAAGGUUAAUCCUCCCAGGGUUAGUCGGUCCUAAGCUGAGGCCGAGAGGCGUAGGUGAAGGGAAACAGGUUAAUAUUCCGUACCAUGGUCAGUUGUUCUAUCGAUGGAGUGACGCAGGAAGUUAUACCCGCACGGAAAGAAAUUGCCGUGCCGAACGGUGUAGGCAGUGAUCGCAGGAAAAUCCGCGGUUGCUAUCAAGCUGAGGCCGGACAGGCCACCGAAUCAAGUAGGUGGAAGGAGUAGAUACUACGCUGCCGAGAAAAGCUUCUAAGAGAGACUGAUUGUGACCGUACCGUAAACCGACACAGGUGGGUGAGGAGAAUAUCCUAAGGCGCUCGAAAGAACCCACGUUAAGGAACUCGGCAAAUUAACUCCGUAACUUCGGGAGAAGGAGUGCUCUGGUAGGGUGACUGGACUGCGUUUAAAUAUGCAUGCGAAAGGUAGCCCGAGAGAGUCGCAGAGAAUAGGCUCAGGCGACUGUUUAUCAAAAACACAGGACUCUGCUAAGGCGAAUAGCCGACGUAUAGGGUCUGACGCCUGCCCAAUGCUGGAAGGUUACGGGGAGGGGUCAGGAGGGGUAACUCUCCGAAGCUCCGAACUUAAGCCCCAGUGAAUGGCGGCCGUAACUAUAACGGUCCUAAGGUAGCGAAAUCCCUUGUCAGGUAAGUUCUGACCCGCAUGAAUGGCUUAACGGUCUGAGCACUGUCUCAACGUGGGGUUCGGCGAAACUGUGCACCGGGUGAAGACGCCCGGUAUCCGCAUCAGGACAAAAAGACCCCGUGGAGCUUUACUGUAGCUUGAUAUUGGAUUUUGGCCUGUUAUGUAGAGGAUAGGUGGGAGACUAUGAAGCUAGGGCGCCAGCCUUGGCGGAGUCGACAAUGGAAUACCACCCUUAUCAGUCUGGAAUUCUAACCUUGGCCCGUUGAUCCGGGUCGGGGACAGUGUCAGGUGGGCAGUUUGACUGGGGCGGUCGCCUCCUAAAGAGUAACGGAGGCGUUCAAAGGUUCCCUCAGCGUGAUUGGAAACCACGCGCAGAGUGUAAAGGCAAAAGGGAGCUUGACUGUGAGGCAAACAAGCCGAUCAGGGACGAAAGUCGGACUUAGUGAUCCGGUGGUACCGAAUGGAAGGGCCAUCGCUCAACGGAUAAAAGCUACCCCGGGGAUAACAGGCUUAUCUCUCCCAAGAGUUCAUAUCGACGGGGAGGUUUGGCACCUCGAUGUCGGCUCAUCGCAUCCUGGGGCUGGAGUAGGUCCCAAGGGUUGGGCUGUUCGCCCAUUAAAGCGGUACGUGAGCUGGGUUCAGAACGUCGUGAGACAGUUCGGUCUCUAUCCGAUGCGGACGUAGGAUGAUUGCGGGGCUCUGCUCUUAGUACGAGAGGACCGGAGUGGACAAACCGAUGGUGAACCAGUUGUCUUGUCAGAGGCACCGCUGGGUAGCUAAGUUUGGAUGGGAUAACCGCUGAAGGCAUCUAAGUGGGAAACCCACCUCAAGAUUAAUCAUCCCAAUCGAUCGAAAGACGAUGU
Molecule: ribosomal RNA, 2358 nt
Filed under: activated sludge metagenome
Description: bacterial LSU rRNA
Rfam family: Bacterial large subunit ribosomal RNA
Source: RNAcentral